GCCGGAAUAGCUCAGUUGGGAGAGCGUUAGAUUUAAGAUCUGAAGACCUCCCGGUUCAAUCCCGGGUUCCGACA
Dreissena polymorpha is the source of this 74-nucleotide non-coding RNA. Lineage: Eukaryota; Metazoa; Mollusca; Bivalvia; Myida; Dreissenidae. The record is from the annotation of a RefSeq genome assembly.